GGACACGUAGCUCAAGUGGCAAAAGCACCGCGUUUUUAUGCGGAUGGACGCGGAUUCAAUUCCCGCCUUGUCCA
This is a transfer RNA of Phytophthora infestans T30-4, 74 nucleotides long. It matches the Rfam family "tRNA". Rfam says of the family: Transfer RNA (tRNA) molecules are approximately 80 nucleotides in length. Their secondary structure includes four short double-helical elements and three loops (D, anti-codon, and T loops). The record is from Rfam. NCBI's taxonomy places the organism in Eukaryota, Oomycota, Peronosporomycetes, Peronosporales, Peronosporaceae.